UUGNNUCUAAACCAUUNUNGCNCUGCCUAACACAUGCAAGUCGAACGGGAAGCCACCUUCGGGUGGCCGAGAGUGGCGCACGGGUGAGUAACGCGUGGGAAUCUGCCCUGGAGNGGGGGACAACCGCUGGAAACGGCGGCUAAUACCGCAUACGCCCUCCUUUGGAGACAUUGGGGGGGAAAGCUUUAUGCGCUCCAGGAUGAGCCCGCGUCGGAUUAGCUUGUUGGUGAGGUAACGGCUCACCAAGGCUUCGAUCCGUAGCUGGUCUGAGAGGAUGAUCAGCCACACUGGGACUGAGACACGGCCCAGACUCCUACGGGAGGCAGCAGUGGGGAAUAUUGGACAAUGGGGGCAACCCUGAUCCAGCAAUGCCGCGUGUGUGAAGAAGGCCUUCGGGUUGUAAAGCACUUUCACUCGCGAAGAUGAUGACGGUAGCGAGAGGAGAAGCCCCGGCUAACUCCGUGCCANCAGCCGCGGGAAUACCGAGGGGGCUAGCGGUGUU
Molecule: ribosomal RNA, 502 nt
Filed under: uncultured Alphaproteobacteria bacterium
Lineage: Bacteria; Pseudomonadati; Pseudomonadota; Alphaproteobacteria
Description: bacterial SSU rRNA
Rfam family: Bacterial small subunit ribosomal RNA
Source: RNAcentral